GUAUCAGAAGUGCGAAUGCUGACAUAAGUAACGAUAAAGCGGGUGAAAAGCCCGCUCGCCGGAAGACCAAGGGUUCCUGUCCAACGUUAAUCGGGGCAGGGUGAGUCGACCCCUAAGGCGAGGCCGAAAGGCGUAGUCGAUGGGAAACAGGUUAAUAUUCCUGUACUUGGUGUUACUGCGAAGGGGGGACGGAGAAGGCUAUGUUGGCCGGGCGACGGUUGUCCCGGUUUAAGCGUGUAGGCUGGUUUUCCAGGCAAAUCCGGAAAAUCAAGGCUGAGGCGUGAUGACGAGGCACUACGGUGCUGAAGCAACAAAUGCCCUGCUUCCAGGAAAAGCCUCUAAGCAUCAGGUAACAUCAAAUCGUACCCCAAACCGACACAGGUGGUCAGGUAGAGAAUACCAAGGCGCUUGAGAGAACUCGGGUGAAGGAACUAGGCAAAAUGGUGCCGUAACUUCGGGAGAAGGCACGCUGAUAUGUAGGUGAAGUCCCUCGCGGAUGGAGCUGAAAUCAGUCGAAGAUACCAGCUGGCUGCAACUGUUUAUUAAAAACACAGCACUGUGCAAACACGAAAGUGGACGUAUACGGUGUGACGCCUGCCCGGUGCCGGAAGGUUAAUUGAUGGGGUCAGCGCAAGCGAAGCUCUUGAUCGAAGCCCCGGUAAACGGCGGCCGUAACUAUAACGGUCCUAAGGUAGCGAAAUUCCUUGUCGGGUAAGUUCCGACCUGCACGAAUGGCGUAAUGAUGGCCAGGCUGUCUCCACCCGAGACUCAGUGAAAUUGAACUCGCUGUGAAGAUGCAGUGUACCCGCGGCAAGACGGAAAGACCCCGUGAACCUUUACUAUAGCUUGACACUGAACAUUGAGCCUUGAUGUGUAGGAUAGGUGGGAGGCUUUGAAGUGUGGACGCCAGUCUGCAUGGAGCCGGCCUUGAAAUACCACCCUUUAAUGUUUGAUGUUCUAACGUUGACCCGUUAUCCGGGUUGCGGACAGUGUCUGGUGGGUAGUUUGACUGGGGCGGUCUCCUCCUAAAGAGUAACGGAGGAGCACGAAGGUUGGCUAAUCCUGGUCGGACAUCAGGAGGUUAGUGCAAUGGCAUAAGCCAGCUUGACUGCGAGCGUGACGGCGCGAGCAGGUGCGAAAGCAGGUCAUAGUGAUCCGGUGGUUCUGAAUGGAAGGGCCAUCGCUCAACGG
RNAcentral lists this ribosomal RNA (1191 nucleotides) under Escherichia coli. Its description in RNAcentral is "partial 23S ribosomal RNA". It matches the Rfam family "Bacterial large subunit ribosomal RNA", at positions 1279 to 2455 of the family's 2925-position model. Lineage: Bacteria; Pseudomonadati; Pseudomonadota; Gammaproteobacteria; Enterobacterales; Enterobacteriaceae. The record is from RNAcentral.